GACGAACGCUGGCGGCGUGCCUAACACAUGCAAGUCGAACGGAAGUAAGACUCCGGUUUUACUUUAGUGGCGAACGGGUGAGUAACGCGUGAGAAACCUGCCUUUCAGUGGGGGACAACAGUUGGAAACGACUGCUAAUACCGCAUAAUGUACACGGACCGCAUGAUCUGUGUACCAAAGCUUUAUGUGCUGAAAGAUGGUCUCGCGUCUGAUUAGCUAGUUGGUGAGGUAACGGCUCACCAAGGCGACGAUCAGUAGCCGGUCUGAGAGGAUGAACGGCCACAUUGGGACUGAGAUACGGCCCAG
This 306-nucleotide ribosomal RNA is filed under the name uncultured bacterium. RNAcentral's name for it is "bacterial SSU rRNA". It matches the Rfam family "Bacterial small subunit ribosomal RNA", at positions 28 to 334 of the family's 1533-position model. The record is from RNAcentral.